RNAcentral lists this ribosomal RNA (247 nucleotides) under uncultured Bdellovibrio sp. RNAcentral's name for it is "partial 16S ribosomal RNA". It matches the Rfam family "Bacterial small subunit ribosomal RNA", at positions 210 to 456 of the family's 1533-position model. The record is from RNAcentral. Lineage: Bacteria; Pseudomonadati; Bdellovibrionota; Bdellovibrionia; Bdellovibrionales; Pseudobdellovibrionaceae.
GUUUUUCGCUUGAAGAUGAGUCCAUGCGAGAUUAGCUAGUUGGUGGGGUAAUGGCCUACCAAGGCGACGAUCUCUAACUGGUCUUAGAGGAUGAUCAGUCACACUGGAACUGAGACACGGUCCGGACUCCUACGGGAGGCAGCAGUAGGGAAUAUUGCGCAAUGGGGGAAACCCUGACGCAGCGACGCCGCGUGAGUGAUGAAGGCCUUCGGGUCGUAAAGCUCUGUCGUAUGGGAAUAACAUAAUG